Long non-coding RNA from Panicum virgatum (switchgrass), 5917 nucleotides. RefSeq lists it as uncharacterized. The record is from RefSeq and is a predicted model, not a curated record. NCBI's taxonomy places the organism in Eukaryota, Viridiplantae, Streptophyta, Magnoliopsida, Poales, Poaceae. The transcript is spliced from 2 exons.
UCUAUCGCGCCGCCGCAGCCGAGGCCCUCCGCCCCGGUCCGCCGAGCCAUCGUCGCCCCAAUCCGCCGCCUCCAACCUUGGCGGUUGGGCCCUCCGUCCCACCGCCGCUGCUCCGGUCCUCGUCCCCAGGUCCGUCGCACCGCCGCCGCCGAGGCCCUCCGCCCUGGUCCACCACGCCGCCGUCGCACCAAUCUGCCGCCUCUUACCUCGGUGGCCGGGCCCUCUGUCCCCCGUGUGCCGUGCCGCCGUCGCCCGGAUCCGCGCGUGCUGUCGAGCCCGGAUCCGCGCGUGCUGUUGAGCCCGUCUCACGCCGCUGCGCGCGCGAGACACACCCAUGCGCGACCUGAGCAGCAGCAACACGGCCGCGGGGCUCUUCGCCGUCCGGCGCCCGGGCUUCCAUCGAUGGCGCUAAGCCUUGGCCAUCGGGUCCGGAUCCGAGGGUCGCCAGGGAGGAGAGGCCGGUGUGGGACGGGAAGAGACGGCGUCGGAUUGGAGCCAAUUGGUUCCGUGGUUUUGGAGGAGCUGAGCCCAUCCCGCAUAUUGAGCGAAUAUUCCGCUCAUGGGAUGGCUCGGUUCGCACAACCAUGAACCAAAUAAUGGAUGGAGCCGCUCUGUUCCAGUCGGCUUGCCAACCAAACACACCAGCUACCGAGCUGCCCUCGCCGCCGGCCGCAGGCCCGUCUCUGAAUUCUGAUGAAGGGCUCCCCCACCCACCAACGGCAGGACGGGGACGAAGCAGCAGCAGCAAGCAGCCAUUAAGCCAACCACCCACCUGCCUGCAUCAUUCAUGCCGGCCGGAUCAUCGUCAGGGCAGCCAAUGCAAUGCAAUUCAAUUCCGCGCCAGCCUUACCCCUGACGGCCCUGAUCGAUCGACCUCCCGGCCUCUUCAAUUCACCUGCCUUUCGAUCGGGCCGCGUGGAUCUCAACGACCGACCGACGGUACAGUUCAGCAGUCAAUGGGUGUACGAGCUCCAGCUACCUCCAGGUACCAGGGAACACUUAUCGCAGAUCGCAAUUAAGCGACAGUAAACCGCAUGUAAUACUCUGCCCAUGCAUAAAGAUACUUUAGAACUCAAUAAUGUGGUACCACUAUCACUGUUCAUCAUAACGAAAAAGCUUCUGGUACCGCGAAAAUAGAAAAGAAGCUGAGUAGUAAUGCGUGAUGCUGCUAAGGACUCCCUCUCCUCAAAAUUUAAGACCUACUAGUGCUAUUCACACAUGAACAAGUUGGAGUAGUUGUGUUCAAUAAAAGAUGCAAACAACUAUGUGUGUACAAAUGCUACGUAUAAUAAUAUCAAGGUGAAGCGCUACUAGAACUGGUCAACUGGUCUCUUCGUCUGAAUCUAAAGACAGGGGAAAUAUGGGUGUUCACACCUAUGCAUUUAUGCUUGUUUGUCACUAUUAUGAGAUAUUUUAAGUGAAUUUCAUGUUCAUAUUUUAUUUAUUUAUUUGAGAGAGCUUUGUCUGGUUGACACAACAGAAAAUAGUUGUGGCCGGAUGAGGACACCAUAAAAACUCAGGUAAAAGAAUAAAAACAAGAAAUUACAAUUCUACCACUUUUAAUCAUCGCCUGAAGCAAUAUUUUUCAAGUAAACACAAAACAAAAGGUUAAUCUGUCACUGUGCAUAUAAAGCUUGUAAGGCCUCUUCAUUGCUUGACCUGGUCGAAUGAAAAGCUAGCUGGUGGAGGUAGUUGAUCACAGAAGCAUAUAUGGAGAUAAUACUGUAUCCCGUAGAUUACACUAAUUUGUUUGGAGCUGUAUAUAAAUAACAUUAAUAUUAUUGUCUUGAUAAGAAAUUUUAUAGUACGGCUUCUGGUGUACAAAUGCAUAUGAAUAAUAUAUAUACUCGAUAGAGGUGUUAAAUAGUACGGUUGUUUGUUGUCCUAACAUCUAGUUCAAAGGCAACGAUGUUAUAAACUUUAGGUGUCCAUAUAUGUUUAAUGCAUACGCAAUUACUUGUGGGUACUUUUUAUAUUUAUCACUACCUCCGUUCUUAAAUAUGUGACAUUUAGGACAAACAUAUCACUAUUAGGUGCAAAUUCUUGAUCCAACAAGUAAGCUUGGGGCAAAAUCUUUUUCUUUUUCUUUAAUUCAAAAAAUGGUGUUGAUAUUUCUGAGUGCCUAGCUUGUCACUUGACCUUGUCUGCUGAAUAGUGAGCUGGAGGUAGUUGAGCACAUAAAUUAUUGUUCAAUAAGAAGAUGGAAACAAUUGUAAAUAAUAUAUGGCAGUGCUAUUACAAGCUGUAUAGUAUAAUACUUCCCCUGAUAAUAUAUUUAAUAUAAGGUAGCUUUUGUCUUCUAAUCAUCUCUCAAAAGAAACAUUGAAUUUGUUUAAAUUAGUUUUUGCAUUCCACAUCAGCUUCUUUGACCACCAAACUAGCAGUAUCUAAUUAUGCUCAUUUCUGGAACUUGGCGAAGUGUUAUACUCGUUGUGGAACAAAAUCAUGAAUCACCGGCAGGAAUAAACGAACGCAUCAAGAAACCCAACUGCAAUUGUUGGUGUGCGCCCUGAAACAUUUCCCUCGAUUGUAUCCUGUCACUCACUUUCUGCCACCUUUUAGGAGCCAAGAGAUAAAAAGUUGCAUCAUGAGAAAGAGAAGCCCUACAGGAGAAGGCACCCACCUACUGGCUAUAUAAUCCCCAGAUAUCGCUCUCUCUUGCAGAAGGUAGCACCAUUAUGUAGGUACCCGUCCACACCACCAAAGCAUUUGUCUUCUUCAACCUCUCUCUCUCUCUCUCUCUCUCUCUCUCUCUCUCUCUCUCUCUCUCUCUCUCUCUCUCUCUCUCUCUGCCUGCAUGCUGUUUCCUUUUUGUCAUUUGUUUUUUCAACCGAGAGUAAGUAAUUUUCUAGAGUCUACACACCUCUGGAGUGAUCUUGUGUUUUGCUUGGCAUGAAGGGGAAAGGAAGGGGAAGCCAUGCUUGGGCUAUAGCAUGCAUGUUGCUGGGAUAAGGAGGUAUUGGCGCGCCUCAAUCCGAAGGCGUGGCUGAUUAUUGGCGCGGCAGCCAUGUUCUUGGAUUGAGCCGCGUCAAUAUCUCCCCUUGCUAUCUUCCUAUACCUACCUCGCUUGUUGCUAGCAGAAUCUAAGGAGUCUCGAGAUAUCCCUCAUCACGAUCGAGAACAUGAACACAAUUGUUGAUUUCCAAGCAAACAAGGUAUGUAUAAUACUUCAUGCUUCAUAUAUAUCUUCAUUAAGAGUUUUCUUCCAGCAAGAUUAUCGGCCACAGGGGGGGGGGGAUGGGAGGGAGGGAGGGAGAGAGAGAGAGAGAGUUCUCAAAAUCAGAAUAAUAGUUACUAUACCAAUAACUCUAUGCUGUACCAUUUUAAAUUUUCUCCCUUCAACGCCCUUCCAUGCCACUGUCAUGAACUCAAUGUUCAAAAUCGGGUGUCGUCAGUUAUAUUUAAGUCGUCAUAUAGUUCUCUAAUUGGCUGCAAACUUGCAAUUGUACUUCUCAUCUUUUUAGAUAUAAGCUUUUCCACAUUUGAUGUUCCAUCAGGUACUAUCAUUUUUUUCAUCAGGUAGAAAUUAGGAGCCCGGCAUAUUUUUUGGAUAGUGCGGGAAAAAGUAACACCAAAGAGUUAGGAUAAACUGAUUUUUGUGUAAAUCUUAUUAUAUAUGGUGUCUUUAAGAACUACAGAGAUGAACCGGCUAUAGAAAAAUACAUAGAUGAAAGGAUGUAGUUUGUUAACAACUUGUUAACAAAGAAAAACAAUACUGAAUGUUACUUCCCGAUCACCCCUUCCCUUAGUUUGGUCGUGUGUGUAUAUAUAUUAGGGGAAAUGCAACUAGUCAAAUGGUCUCAUUUAGUUCAAAAUGUGCCAUUUCAAAAAAAAAAAUUACACAGAAAACUAGCAACCAUUGGGGGGAACCUGCUGAAAAUUUUCCCUACACUCUUGUACUAUUGUAUAAUUUACUUCUAAUCGCAAAUUAAAUGUCUAAGGAAGAGAAUGCAGGGUUUGUACUUUGUACAAUGGCUUCUUAUCCUAGUGCUUCCUGCUGGUCUGAUUAACGCCUUGCAGAAAAUGUGUUUGGAGUGUCAAAUAAAAUUAACAAACUUUUCAACUCAAUCUUUUGAAGUACCUUCAAAAUGAAUAGAUGAAUUUGUUUCAACUAUCUAUCUUUUUCAUCAAAUGUAAAUUUAUUGUUGGAAUGCAAACCCAUCAGUAGAAAAUAAGUCCUUGCCUUUGAAUUGUUUUUCUAAUUCUGAUAUGUUAGCUUAUGUAUGCUUGUGCAUUAUUCAAGCACACUAUUUCAAGAAGGUUCUUUGUUUAAUUAGUUUAAUGAUCCACAAUAUAACAUACUAAUAGUGCUCUCUUCAGUAGAAGGUGAAAUAAAAUAAUGAACAAAUGGCAAUGAAGAUGGCUAUAUGGGUUAUCAUUUCUAUGAUAUAUAUCCCUGUCGGUUCCCUGUGUGUUGUUUCAAAACCGAUAAGAAAUGUGAAUUUCCCUAUGCCUGCUUGAUGAAAAAUCCUCAGAAAAAUUGGACACACACAAGAAAAAAAUCGGCUUGCAGUAGUGGGUACUGAUGUAUAAAAAUUAAAUAAAAACAAGUCCAACUUUAAAAAGAACAAAAUUGUAUCACUCCAAAAACAUGAGGUGUCUCAUAAUACCAUAUGGUUGGCAAGGGCGACAACCUUAUUCAGACAAUCAUACUCACAAACUUUUGCCUACAUUAGCUAAACAUUUUGGCACAAGGUAUGAAAAUAAUUUUUUUAGAUUAAGGAAUAGUUCCAGCCUUGAAUAUUCGAGAUGAAUGUCUACAGCCCUGGGUAUGACAAUAAUUAUGUUGUUUAUUAGUUGUGUCAUUGUGUGCUCCAGUUCCUGUCCUGUACGUAGUGCAGCUAGCACCAAAUCGAAGGGAGUACCAUCAUCCCAGGAUUUGUAGCUUCAAAGGUAAAAUGACUAGUGAUGUUUAGUUUAGCCGCCACUAUCGUUGCAGAAGAGGCCAAAGAAAAGUUUGUUGAGCUGCUCCUAGUGGAGGAAAGAUCACACACCACUUCACGGCAAUGUUUUCUUUACCAACUCGAGCUUAUUUUUGAACGUCAGCUCGGCCACCCUCACUUUUGGAAAAGCAUCUUCUGUGCCUGGUUUGAGGUAUGAGCAACACAAUCAAAAUAUUGGUACUGUUACACUGGAAUUUAUUUCCCCUGUGUAAGAGAGAACAAGCUAGAUCACGUACCCGUGCAUGUUGGAAUUUUUGGUGGUAAAAAACGCUGAAAAUACAGCAAAUAAGAAAACGGGAAAAGAAGGACAAGAACUCCGAGAGAAAGCCCAUUUAGCGUUCUGAUCGUAGGCCCAACUAGCUCAUGGUUGUGACUCCAGAUUACCCAGCACCAUAUUAACUCGGGGUGGGAUCUGGCUCCUUUUGGACUGACGUGAAAACCUAGCCAAAGAGAAACCCCAACAGCCACCCGACGGCGGCGAUGGAGUCACCUGAAGGUCCCCGCCGCGCCGCGAUCGCCGCCAUCCUUGUAGAGUGCCGAUGGAGGCCGGAAGGAAGCCGGUACCUGCCGAGGUCUUCUUCAACUCCGGCGAGUACGACUACUCCGACUCCGGUAACUACGACUACAAUGCCUACUUCGUCAACCAAGAUGGCCGGUGGAUCUGCUACAUCCGCCAUGCCGCUUCUCCCCGGUCUAGACCUAAACCUCUUAUGUAUUUUAAGGGUUGUGCUUACUUGAGUAGAAGUAGAUCCUGUGUAAGUUAAGAUCUAAGUUAAGUUUAAUUCCUACGGUGCAAGGAUUUAGUUAUUCCUUGUCCACCGAGAACUUUAGGGAGGCAAAAACAAUGGAACAGCAUAUAAAUUCUCUCCCCACCCUUCCAUAUAUAAAUAAAAGCUGUAAGAAAAAAGUAACAAAAUGCAGGUGCUACCUCCUACCUGGAGUCCAGGACAGGGAUUGAAGGUGCACUGGAAGUU